GCGAGGUGGUGCUAAUCCUAGAAAAUUCUUCGUAGUCCGGAUUGGAGUCUGCAACUCGACUCCAUGAAGUCGGAAUCGCUAGUAAUCGCGAAUCAGCAUGUCGCGGUGAAUACGUUCUCGGGUCUUGUACACACCGGCCGUCACACCAUGGAAGUGGAUUGCACCAGAAGUAGAUAGUCUAACCUUCGGGAGGGCGUUUACCACGGUGUGCUUCAUGACUGGGGUGAAGUCGUAACAAGGUAGCCGUAGGGGAACCUGUGGCUGGAUCACCUCCUU
This 276-nucleotide ribosomal RNA is filed under the name uncultured SAR86 cluster bacterium. Its description in RNAcentral is "partial 16S ribosomal RNA". It matches the Rfam family "Bacterial small subunit ribosomal RNA", at positions 1257 to 1532 of the family's 1533-position model. The record is from RNAcentral. Lineage: Bacteria; Pseudomonadati; Pseudomonadota; Gammaproteobacteria.